This 802-nucleotide ribosomal RNA is filed under the name Zasmidium cyatheae. Its description in RNAcentral is "eukaryotic LSU rRNA". It matches the Rfam family "Eukaryotic large subunit ribosomal RNA", at positions 81 to 919 of the family's 3401-position model. The record is from RNAcentral. Lineage: Eukaryota; Fungi; Ascomycota; Dothideomycetes; Mycosphaerellales; Mycosphaerellaceae.
UAGUAACGGCGAGUGAAGCGGCAACAGCUCAAAUUUGAAACCUGGCGCUUGCGUCCGGAUUGUAAUUUGCAGAGGAUGCUUCUGGGCAGCGGCCGGUCUAAGUUCCUUGGAAAAGGACGUCAUAGAGGGUGAGAACCCCGUAUGUGACCGGCGCGCACCCUCCACGUAGCUCCUUCGACGAGUCGAGUUGUUUGGGAAUGCAGCUCUAAAUGGGAGGUAAAUUUCUUCUAAAGCUAAAUAUUGGCCCGAGACCGAUAGCGCACAAGUAGAGUGAUCGAAAGAUGAAAAGCACUUUGGAAAGAGAGUUAAAAAGCACGUGAAAUUGUUGAAAGGGAAGCGCUUCCCACCAGACUCCGCGGCGGUGUUCCGCCGGUCUUCUGACCGGUCUACUCGCCGCCGUGGGGCCAGCAUCGUCUGGGGCCGCCGGAUAAGACCGCAGGAAUGUAGCUCAUUGAGUGUUAUAGCCUGCGGGGAUGCGGCGCGCCCCGGGCGAGGUCCGCGCUUCGGCAAGGAUGCUGGCGUAAUGGUGGGCAGCGGCCCGUCUUGAAACACGGACCAAGGAGUCUAACAUCUAUGCGAGUGUUCGGGUGUCAAACCCCUACGCGUAAUGAAAGUGAACGGAGGUGGGAGCUUCGGCGCACCAUCGACCGAUCCUGAUGUCCUCGGAUGGAUUUGAGUAAGAGCAUAGCUGUUGGGACCCGAAAGAUGGUGAACUAUGCCUGAAUAGGGUGAAGCCAGAGGAAACUCUGGUGGAGGCUCGCAGCGGUUCUGACGUGCAAAUCGAUCGUCAAAUUUGGGCAUA